UCUACUGAGGAAGAUAUUCCUUCUGGCCCACAGGAUGCCAAAAUGACUUGAUGAUUUAUUUAUGCAGCACUUGGCAGCCUAUAGUCCAGAUUGUGGCUGAAGCUGAAUUUUAUGAGCCUUCCCCUAGAAGUCUUCUAGGCCCAAGGGAUUGUGGUGAAAGAAGAUAAACACUGCUCCUUCUCUCCUGCAACAGACAUUUCAGAAGAGAGAGAUGGAUGAUAAUAGAUGAUGAAAGUCUUCAGAGGAAAAAAUUUUGCUCAUGUGGAAAAGGUGGGGAAGAAAUGCCAGAAGCACUACCAGACAUCAAAAAUGAUGAGUUCAAAAACUGUUUUGAAUGGUGGAAAAGUGUCUUGAUAGGUACAUUACAUGAAAAGGAGAGUAUUUUGAUGGAGAUUGAAGUUUAAACAUGUAAGAAUAAAUACACAAUUUUUUAUAAAUAAAUUCUGGGUUUUUUGGGGGUCCCCUUUGUGCUAAGAAAUGCAGACCAGGCACUUCACAAUUUUAAAUGAAGCCUUCUUUGUGAUUACAGUACAUGCUGUUUCUGUAGUAAGAUGAA
Carlito syrichta (Philippine tarsier) is the source of this 556-nucleotide long non-coding RNA. RefSeq lists it as uncharacterized. The transcript is spliced from 3 exons. The record is from RefSeq and is a predicted model, not a curated record. NCBI's taxonomy places the organism in Eukaryota, Metazoa, Chordata, Mammalia, Primates, Tarsiidae.